RNAcentral lists this ribosomal RNA (434 nucleotides) under uncultured Pseudoflavonifractor sp. RNAcentral's name for it is "partial 16S ribosomal RNA". It matches the Rfam family "Bacterial small subunit ribosomal RNA", at positions 341 to 792 of the family's 1533-position model. Lineage: Bacteria; Bacillati; Bacillota; Clostridia; Eubacteriales; Oscillospiraceae. The record is from RNAcentral.
ACGGGAGGCAGCAGUGGGGAAUAUUGGGCAAUGGGCGAGAGCCUGACCUAGCGACGCCGCGUGAGGGAAGAAGGUCUUCGGAUUGUAAACCUCUUUCAGCAGGGAAGAUAAUGACGGUACCUGCAGAAGAAGCCACGGCUAACUACGUGCCAGCAGCCGCGGUAAUACGUAGGUGGCAAGCGUUAUCCGGAUUUAUUGGGUGUAAAGGGUGUGUAGGCGGGACUGCAAGUCAGAAGUGAAAAUCAUGGGCUCAACCCAUGACCUGCUUUUGAAACUGUGGUUCUUGAGAGUGGGAGAGGUAAACGGAAUUCCUGGUGUAGCGGUGAAAUGCGUAGAUAUCAGGAGGAACACCGGUGGCGAAGGCGGUUUACUGGACCAUUACUGACGCUGAGACACGAAAGCGUGGGGAGCAAACAGGAUUAGAUACCCUGGUA